AUGGCGUCGGUUUCGAAGCUUGUGCUUCUCCUGCUGUGCGCUUACCACACUCUCGUUGCUCACGCAGGAGAUGAUCUUGGCAGCUACUACAUGGUUCUGCCCGCUGGGUCUCUGAAAUCUGCCACCGUCAACUGCACCGAUCACAAAGCAGUGAGUUCACCAUCCGGCGGCGUCGUCACGGUGCCGUUGCACCACCGGCACGGCCCAUGCUCCCCCGUCCCCUCCACGAAGGCGCCGACCUUGGAGGAGAUGCUCUGGCGUGACCAGCUCCGAGCUGAAUACAUCAGAAGUUCUCUGGCGUCAAGGGUGGCGGCGUGGAGCAGUCGGACGUAA
RNAcentral lists this ribosomal RNA (333 nucleotides) under Triticum aestivum (bread wheat). RNAcentral's name for it is "partial small subunit ribosomal RNA". Lineage: Eukaryota; Viridiplantae; Streptophyta; Magnoliopsida; Poales; Poaceae. The record is from RNAcentral.